GAUUUCUGGUACGGCGCGCUUGGCCCGCCAGGGUUACCUGGUUGUGUGCUGGUGUGCGCCUGCCAUCCUUUUGCAGAUCCGUUCUAUCCUUUACUGGUGUGAAUUGGUUUGUAAAUCAUUUACUUUGAAAAAAUUAGAGUGUUUCAAGCAGGCUUUAUGCUAUGAAUACAUUAGCAUGGAAUAAUAAUUUAGGACUUCGGUUCUAUUUUGUUGGUUUCUAGGACUGAAGUAAUGAUUGAUAGGGAUAGUUGGGGGUGCUAGUAUUCAGCGGCCAGAGGUGAAAUUCUCGGAUUCGCUGAAGACUAACUUAUGCGAAAGCAUU
This 322-nucleotide ribosomal RNA is filed under the name uncultured Cercomonas. Its description in RNAcentral is "SSU rRNA". The stretch from base 59 to 322 matches the Rfam family "Eukaryotic small subunit ribosomal RNA", at positions 691 to 955 of the family's 1831-position model. The record is from RNAcentral. Lineage: Eukaryota; Cercozoa; Cercomonadida; Cercomonadidae.